This 253-nucleotide ribosomal RNA is filed under the name uncultured bacterium. RNAcentral's name for it is "partial 16S ribosomal RNA". It matches the Rfam family "Bacterial small subunit ribosomal RNA", at positions 524 to 776 of the family's 1533-position model. The record is from RNAcentral.
GACAGAGGUCCCGAGCGUUAGGCGGAAUCACUGGGCUUAAAGCGUGUGUAGGCGGAUCCGUAAGUACCUUGUGAAAUCCCACGGCUUAACCGUGGAACUGCUUGGUAUACUGCGGGUCUUGAGCCACCUAGGGGCGAGCGGAACAAGUGGUGGAGCGGUGAAAUGCGUAGAUAUCACUUGGAACGCCAAUGGUGAAAACAGCUCGCUGGGGGUGUGCUGACGCUGAGACACGAAAGCCAGGGGAGCAAACGGG